AUGCAAGUCGAACGGAGUAUUUUUUGAGUGCUUGCACUCUGGGAUACUUAGUGGCGGACGGGUGAGUAACACGUGAGCAACCUGCCUGAAAGAGGGGGAUAACGUCUGGAAACGGACGCUAAUACCGCAUAAUAUACCGAGUCGGCAUCGAUUUGGUAUCAAAGGAGCAAUCCGCUUUGAGAUGGGCUCGCGCCCGAUUAGAUAGUUGGUGAGGUAAUGGCUCACCAAGUCGACGAUCGGUAGCCGGACUGAGAGGUUGAUCGGCCACAUUGGGACUGAGACACGGCCCAAACUCCUACGGGAGGCAGCAGUGGGGGAUAUUGCACAAUGGGGGAAACCCUGAUGCAGCGACGCCGCGUGGGUGAAGACGGUCUUCGGAUUGUAAAGCCCUGUUGCAGAGGACGAUAAUGACGGUACUCUGUGAGGAAGCCACGGCUAACUACGUGCCAGCAGCCGCGGUAAUACGUAGGUGGCAAGCGUUGUCCGGAAUUACUGGGUGUAAAGGGAGCGUAGGCGGGGAUUCAAGUUGGAUGUGAAAUACCGCAGCUUAACUGCGGGGCUGCAUCCAAAACUGGAUUUCUUGAGUGGAGUAGAGGUAGGCGGAAUUCCUAGUGUAGCGGUGAAAUGCGUAGAUAUUAGGAGGAACACCAGUGGCGAAGGCGGCCUACUGGGCUUUAACUGACGCUGAGGCUCGAAAGCGUGGGGAGCAAACAGGAUUAGAUACCCUGGUAGUCCACGCUGUAAACGAUGAUUACUA
This 757-nucleotide ribosomal RNA is filed under the name uncultured Clostridiaceae bacterium. Its description in RNAcentral is "bacterial SSU rRNA". It matches the Rfam family "Bacterial small subunit ribosomal RNA", at positions 55 to 818 of the family's 1533-position model. Lineage: Bacteria; Bacillati; Bacillota; Clostridia; Eubacteriales; Clostridiaceae. The record is from RNAcentral.